RNAcentral lists this transfer RNA (73 nucleotides) under Stegodyphus mimosarum. It matches the Rfam family "tRNA". Rfam says of the family: Transfer RNA (tRNA) molecules are approximately 80 nucleotides in length. Their secondary structure includes four short double-helical elements and three loops (D, anti-codon, and T loops). Further hydrogen bonds mediate the characteristic L-shaped molecular structure. tRNAs have two regions of fundamental functional importance: the anti-codon, which is responsible for specific mRNA codon recognition, and the 3' end, to which the tRNAs corresponding amino acid is attached (by aminoacyl-tRNA synthetases). tRNAs cope with the degeneracy of the genetic code in two manners: having more than one tRNA (with a specific anti-codon) for a particular amino acid; and 'wobble' base-pairing, i.e. permitting non-standard base-pairing at the 3rd anti-codon position. Lineage: Eukaryota; Metazoa; Arthropoda; Arachnida; Araneae; Eresidae. The record is from Rfam by way of RNAcentral.
GCUUACGUGGUGUAGUGGUCAGCACGCUCGACGCGUAUUCGAGAGGUCCGUGGUUCGAUUCCCUGUGAGGACA